UCCCCCUCUUCCCGCGGGAUACGCACCGAAAUCGCUCUCGUAAUAAUGCACUGCGACGCUCGCUAUAAAUUGACGCGCUAAUGACAUUUUAUUUAGUCUUUAAAUAUGAAUCAUGCGUCUGAUAUUCCAUCUGUGUCUGCUCGCUAGCAUCAUUAUUUCCGUGCCAUCUUCUAUCGCCUCAUCAUCAACGGUUUCCAGCUCCGUGAAGAAUGAGGCUCUCAGGGAUCAGCACGUGUCUGAGACCCCGCGAGAGGCGACAGCACCGGGCAAUUCGACCGAAGGCAAAACAGGAGAGCACCCUGUCACCAUUACAUAUCCCUCCCGACUCAUCUACUACCUGAACGAGGAGUCGGAGAGCACCUUUCAUGAUCUGGACACUCGGGCAAAGAACCAGGCUGGAGACGGACAGGAUGUCCACCUGGCCCAAGCAAGUUUCCAGCUGGACGCCUUUGGCACCACAUUCACUCUGGACCUUACUUUAAACAAUGAUCUACUGUCUUCAGAUUACAUGGAGAUCCACUAUGAGAAUGACAAGCCAGUUCUAUCCAGGGGAGGCGAGCACUGCUAUUACCAUGGCCAUGUGAGAGGAAAAGAAGACUCCCGUGCAGCCUUAUCCACCUGCAACGGGCUUCAUGGGAUGUUUGAUGAUGGCAAUUUCGUCUAUCUCAUCGAGCCCCAGAAACAGAUGCACACCACGGAGACAGAGGCGCGGCCUCACACUUUACGACGAACAUCAUCUCUCGGUCUAACCUCUGUCCCAGAUGACUGGACUGCUGAUGACCCAGAUGAGGAAAAGCGUAUUUUCGCCAGCAUGCCUUGGCUAAAGAGAAGGAGGAAAAGAGCUAUGCCACGUAACAUUUUUGAGGAAAUGAAGUAUCUGGAAAUAAUGAUCGUUGCUGAUCACAAUACGUUUAAAAGGCAUAGGAGUAAGAAGCAUACCCGGAACACAGCCAAAUCAUUGGUCAACCUCGUGGACGCUAUUUUUAAGGAGCACCUGAAUACGCGUGUGGUUCUGGUUGCAGUGGAGAUUUGGACAGACAAGGACCGGAUUCCUCUAAGUGUGAAACCUCUGGAAAUGUUAAAAGAUUUUUCAAAGUACCGACAGCAGAACAUCAACAUCAAUGCUGACGCUGUGCAUCUCUUCACGAAUAUGACGUUUCAUUAUGGUCACAGCAGUGUGGGGUAUAUUGGCGGAGUGUGUUCAAAAGCAAGAGGGAUUGGUGUUAAUGAGUUUGGCAACAACUGGGCGAUGGCUGCAUUUUUUUCUCAGAGCCUAGCACAAAAUCUGGGCAUCCAAUGGGAUCCUUCUCUCAGGAGGAAGGAGUGUGGCUGCAUGGAUUCUUGGGUGGGAUGUAUUAUGGAAGACAAUGGAGUACAACACCCACGCAAGUUUUCCAAAUGCAGCAUCACCGACUACAGGAACUUCCUUCUCAGAGGAGGUGCUUCAUGUCUGUUUAACAAACCCAAUAAGCUUUUUGAGGCUACAGAAUGUGGCAAUGGUUAUGUUGAAGUGGGAGAAGAGUGCGACUGUGGGGCGCGAAUGGAGUGCUAUAAAGACUGCUGUAAAAAGUGCUCAUUGUCUAGUGGAGCUCAUUGCAGUGACGGGCCCUGCUGCAAUGGCACGUGUUUGUUCUACCCACGGGGAUACAGCUGUCGAUUUGCUGUAAAUGAUUGUGACAUAUCAGAGACGUGUUCAGGAGAUUCAGGACAGUGCCCUCCUAAUCUCCAUAAGCAAGAUGGCUACUCUUGUCAGCUCAAUCAGGGUCGCUGUUACAGUGGUGAAUGUAAGACCCGGGAAAGUCAGUGCAAAUACAUCUGGGGUCCAAAGGCUGGAGGGUCGGAGAAGCACUGCUAUGAAAAGUUAAAUACAGAGGGAACAGAAAAGGGGAACUGUGGGAGAGAUGGAGACAAAUGGGUGCCCUGCAGCAAACACGAUGUGUUCUGCGGGUACCUGCUGUGCUCUAGUACUGGGAGAAUCCCACGGAUCGGGACCCUGAAAGGAGACGUCACUCCCACCACCUUCAACCAUCAGGGGCGACUGGUGGACUGCAGUGGUGGGCAUGUGCUGUUGGACGAUGACACUGAUCUUGGGUAUGUGGAAGACGGUACGCCAUGUGGCCCCUCUAUGAUGUGCCUUGAGCGGAAGUGUCUCCCCAUCUCCUCUCUGAACCUCACAGCCUGUCCGUCUGGUCCGGGCGGUCGAGUCUGCUCUUCUCACGGCGUGUGCAAUAAUGAAGCAACCUGCACGUGUGAUGCUACCUGGGCAGGAACUGACUGCAGCAUGCAUGAUCCGCCGAAAGAGCCGCCUGUCAUCGAGGACCCGGGUCCCAAGGGUCCUAGCGCCACCAACCUUAUCAUAGGCUCCAUCGCAGGGGCCAUCCUGAUGGCAGCCAUAGUGCUGGGGGGGACGGGAUGGGGAUUUAAGGUGAGAGUUUGAGCGGAGAGGGGUGGAGGUUGUGUCGUAGGCAGCCUUUGUGCCAUGGCUGGCUGCCACGCCCUCUUAUCUCCCGGAAGGCCCUGGGCCCCCCUGAAAACCUAGAACAGAGCAAGAGCCCUCACCCCCCACCCGGACUCGCCCGGCACCGCUGCCUUUACUGCCUGCUUCACAGAGACCUGAAAUGUCAAGAAAAGACGAUACGACCCUAACGCCAGUGCCAUCUAAAGGCUAAGAGAACUGCACCCUUGCCUAGUGUGCCCCUGGGUUCAGUGGGAACCCACUGGACUGUACCCUCUCCUGCUGCUGACGGCGUCGGCAUUACUUGAAUUAAAAAAAGGACAGAAAGUGAGAGAAGAGAGAGACUGAAUGAUCAAUCAUUUUUUCAUCCGAUGUCACAUAGAACUGCUUCUCUAGCGCUACCCCCAUCCCCCACUGUUCCUUUGCCCUCUGGUCCAGAGCAUCCAUACUGAGAAUGCCCGAAAUACUGAUAAAGGAUGGUAGCACUCAUCGGGGCAUGACUUCCGGUUUACACGCCCCUACCUCCGGUUCCGACCCAGGCAUGACCAGCUUCAGCUGUGGACCUCGCAUGGCAAAGGAGGGACACCAAUGCAAGAACAUAUUUGUUCUAAAGAAGAAUGACUUGAAGUUCCAGUAGGUUGGUGACACAUGUGAGUGUGUGUUUUACCAUGAUGUCUAAUGAGAGGGACCCAUAUCUUCUUCGGACAAACAUUUCAAGGCAGUCUUUUUUUAGCAUGUUAUUGCAGCCAUUUUCUGUAGUAUUAAUGAAGACACCCAGAUGAAAAAGUAAAAAAAGAAAAAAAAAUCAAUCCAUUUGGCCAGCAGCGUAUACAGCUGCAUGAUGAAAUCACUACAGUUAUAUAUGCCUGAUGACAUCAAUUCCCCUUAAAAGAGAGAAAAAAAUGAGAGAACAAAACUGGCUGGGCCCUGUAGGUCUGCCCUGACCUGAAUGCCGUAACUGGCCAAUCAGAGAGCUGCAUGAUGUAAUUGCACUGGGGGCGGAGCCCACACAGCCUGCUGCGCUUUUCAAGGUAUCUGCAUGUCAAAAAAAAAAAAACAGUUAACAUUUACUUACUAUGCAAAGGGGAAAACGUUGCACAAACCCAAAGGUUUGGUAAAGAAUUCUCGACCGAGACUAACAAUGAAAUUGAUCUCAAGCUAGCGGAUUAUUAAUAAGGCAGUCUUUUAUAUGCUCGGCCAUCUAUGUUUGACAUUAUAAUAAGCUUCUGAUUACUUAAAAUGAAUGUUUCUAUGAAAAUCACAGCUUCUGAAAAACACAAACGUCAUUGUCAUCUGUGUGGGACAGCAUAAACUUGAGGCACUUGCGAUAUUAUUAAUAGAACGGGGCUUUUUGCAAUGGAGGGAGCUCGUAUUUUGGCCGAUUCCACUGAAAUAUGAGCAGAGAGAGAGAGGGUGUUUUUCUAUACUACCAUUGAUCUACACCAUCAGGUUUUUGAACUCAUCUUCUAAACCCUGAGCCCUUUUACAGCCAUCCCAUGUUCCCAUGGAAACAUCGCCAAAACAACAGAUAAUGAUAAUAAAAUUGAUAAAAAUUUA
RNA transcript from Danio aesculapii, 4012 nucleotides. It is a transcript of the gene named ADAM metallopeptidase domain 23a, with no coding region annotated. The record is from RefSeq and is a predicted model, not a curated record. The transcript is spliced from 27 exons. Lineage: Eukaryota; Metazoa; Chordata; Actinopteri; Cypriniformes; Danionidae.